AGAGCGAACGCUGGCGGCAGGCCUAACACAUGCAAGUCGAGCGCCCCGCAAGGGGAGCGGCAGACGGGAGAGUAACACGUGGGAACGUGCCCUUUGGUUCGGAACAACACAGGGAAACUUGUGCUAAAUACCGGAUAAGCCCUUACGGGGAAAGAUUUAUCGCCAAAGGAUCGGCCCGCGUCUGAUUAGCUAGUUGGUGAGGUAACGGCUCACCAAGGCUACGAUCAGUAGCUGGUCUGAGAGGAUGAUCAGCCUCACUGGGACUGAGACACGGCCCAGACUCCUACGGGAGGCAGCAGUGGGGAAUAUUGCGCAAUGGGCGAAAGCCUGACGCAGCGACGCCGCGUGGGGGAUGAAGGCCUUCGGGUUGUAAACCCCUUUCAGCAGGGACGAAGCGAAGUGACGGUACCUGCAGAGAAGCGCCGGCUAACUACGUGCCAGCAGCCGC
This 448-nucleotide ribosomal RNA is filed under the name uncultured bacterium. RNAcentral describes it as "SSU rRNA". It matches the Rfam family "Bacterial small subunit ribosomal RNA", at positions 26 to 518 of the family's 1533-position model. The record is from RNAcentral.